This 77-nucleotide transfer RNA is filed under the name Phenylobacterium sp. RNAcentral describes it as "tRNA-Val". It matches the Rfam family "tRNA". From Rfam's summary of the family: Transfer RNA (tRNA) molecules are approximately 80 nucleotides in length. Their secondary structure includes four short double-helical elements and three loops (D, anti-codon, and T loops). The record is from RNAcentral. RNAcentral also lists the same sequence under 1 other name. Lineage: Bacteria; Pseudomonadati; Pseudomonadota; Alphaproteobacteria; Caulobacterales; Caulobacteraceae.
GGGCGGCUAGCUCAGUUGGUUAGAGCACCUCGUUUACACCGAGGGGGUCGGGGGUUCGAGCCCCUCGCCGCCCACCA